RNAcentral lists this ribosomal RNA (468 nucleotides) under uncultured bacterium. RNAcentral's name for it is "partial 16S ribosomal RNA". It matches the Rfam family "Bacterial small subunit ribosomal RNA", at positions 28 to 507 of the family's 1533-position model. The record is from RNAcentral.
GACGAACGCUGGCGGCGUGCUUAACACAUGCAAGUCGAACGGAAAGGCCCUGCGUUUGUGGGGUGCUCGAGUGGCGAACGGGUGAGUAACACGUGAGUAACCUGCCCUUGACUUUGGGAUAACUUCAGGAAACUGGGGCUAAUACCGGAUAGGAGCUCCUGCUGCAUGGUGGGGGUUGGAAAGGUUCGGCGGUUGGGGAUGGACUCGCGGCUUAUCAGCUUGUUGGUGGGGUAGUGGCUUACCAAGGCUUUGACGGGUAGCCGGCCUGAGAGGGUGACCGGCCACAUUGGGACUGAGAUACGGCCCAGACUCCUACGGGAGGCAGCAGUGGGGAAUAUUGCACAAUGGGCGGAAGCCUGAUGCAGCAACGCCGCGUGCGGGAUGACGGCCUUCGGGUUGUAAACCGCUUUCGCCUGUGACGAAGCGUGAGUGACGGUAAUGGGUAAAGAAGCACCGGCUAACUACGUG